RNAcentral lists this transfer RNA (111 nucleotides) under Ruminococcus sp. RNAcentral's name for it is "tRNA-OTHER". It matches the Rfam family "tRNA". Rfam says of the family: Transfer RNA (tRNA) molecules are approximately 80 nucleotides in length. Their secondary structure includes four short double-helical elements and three loops (D, anti-codon, and T loops). The record is from RNAcentral. Lineage: Bacteria; Bacillati; Bacillota; Clostridia; Eubacteriales; Oscillospiraceae.
GUGCCGUUAGCUCAGUGGCAGAGCAGUAAAAAUUCUGUCUUGUAUCAGACAGUAACAGCAAUUAUUCACCUCAUAAGUGACUUGUCGCAGGUUCGACUCCUGCACGGCACG